UACGUAGGGGGCAAGCGUUGUCCGGAUUUAUUGGGCGUAAAGAGCGUGUAGGCGGUUAGGUAGAUCCGUUGUGAAAACUCGAGGCUCAACCUCGAGACGCCGAUGGAAACCAUCUGACUAGAGUCCGGAAGAGGAGAGUGGAAUUCCUGGUGUAGCGGUGAAAUGCGCAGAUAUCAGGAAGAACACCAAUGGCGAAGGCAGCUCUCUGGGACGGUACUGACGCUGAGACGCGAAAGCGUGGGGAGCGAACAGG
This 253-nucleotide ribosomal RNA is filed under the name uncultured bacterium. RNAcentral describes it as "partial 16S ribosomal RNA". It matches the Rfam family "Bacterial small subunit ribosomal RNA", at positions 524 to 776 of the family's 1533-position model. The record is from RNAcentral.